Long non-coding RNA from Salvia miltiorrhiza (redroot sage), 2467 nucleotides. RefSeq lists it as uncharacterized. The transcript is spliced from 4 exons. The record is from RefSeq and is a predicted model, not a curated record. Lineage: Eukaryota; Viridiplantae; Streptophyta; Magnoliopsida; Lamiales; Lamiaceae.
AGGAGUUUAACGGUAAUUUUUUUGCGCCAAAUUUCAGUUUUCAAUCUUUUUGCAAGUUCUCAGUUUCUCCCACAUUUUUCGUUUCUACACGUUCUUCCAAAUUUUCAACCCACCCCGUAUCGAAUCAGAAUCAGAACCAACUUUCCCAACCCUAAAUCAAACUCACAAUUACUGAAUUACGCCCGCUCACUCUGUAUAUCAGAUAUUCGUAUCCUCAUCCUCCUGAAACGUCACUACGAUGGAGCUUUAGAACCUCAACUCAAUUUUGAAAUCCUUCGUUAUUUUGUGGACAAGCUUAUGGUCCUUAGAAUGGAUACUUGCAGAUCUCACGUAGAGCACGGUGCCAGGGCUGAAGCGGUGGGGCUUCUUCACUCUGCCGGUGGUUGAAGCAGAUUUCCUAAUUGUUUUAGUCACCAGUUGCUUGUGUGGCGUUGUCAAUAGUUUGUGGGCUAUUUGCUUUGUGUGAGAGGAAGACAACCCAUUCAUUUUUCACAGUUAAAACCCCCACUACUCCACCCGAUUUCCACAGCCAGGAUACUGAGUUGCCGUUCGCAUGCGACCAACGCCUUGCAGCGCCAUUUAACUUCUGCCGUCCACAGGAACGACCACCACUGGUCCCACCCAACCGUUCCACCGACCACCAUGGCCCUCUCUUGAAAACUUCGUAUUUCAUGUGCUUCGGAGGUACUUGAGUGAGUAUAUCCAUGGGUUGUCAUCAAAAGGCCUUGAGAAUCAGUGUUUGGAAAGAGAAUGGUAAAAAACUGCUUCAGCCUUGAGAGCUUGCUCCAGUUUCUUUACGGAAGAAGUAAUCACAGUCUCAUCAAAGAAAUUCACAAGAUUGGAUGACAACUACUGUUACUGAUCAUGGUGGAGAUGUUUGAAACAGACAGUGACUCCAUGGCUUGCAAGGUAAUGUAUGAGUAUGACAUAACCAGCCAAACUAUGAAGUUUGAGAUGCAAUAUAAUGUUGAAAUGUAAUAAACUUUAGUUUAUUGCUACAUUUAAUAUUCUGUUAUUUUUGACAAAUACGUUUUAAUUUGUUAUCAUGUAUAUGUAUUAAAUAAUUAUAUGGACAACUAUAUAUGUAUAUUAUAUAUAUAUAGGCCCGUAUAAAAAUUAUUGGAUUAUAUUAUGCAUCUUAUUAAUUAAUUAACUAGAAAAUUAAAAUUGUUGAUAAAUUUUACUUAUAUUAUAAAUUGUAGUAGUUAACUAUUUCAUCCACCGAUGUGUGUGCAUAUAUAUUAUAGGAAAAAAAUUAACAUAUAUUUUUUAAAGUUAAAAUAUUUAAAAUAGAUAUUGCUUCAAUAUGCCAUUUCAUAUUAAAUAAUAUUUAAACAUUUUAGUUAAAUUGAAAUUAAUUUUUUGUUGUCAAUUAAUCAACUCAUAAAUGAUACAAUUUUGCAUGUAGUUUAUUUUUUUUUAAAUAUAAAUAUAUGGCCCGUGCAUCGCACGGGAGGACGUACUAGUAUUAUAUAAAACAGCAGUUUAUUAACGGAUACUUUUUCCCGGCAAAAUUUAAAGUUAUGAUUUCUCACACACGUUCUCUUCUUCUUCCACACGUUCUCUCAAUCGCAAAUUCUUAAAGUUAUGGUUAUAGAAUUAAUCAACAAUUUUCUCUCUCCCUCUUCUACACUUCCGCGCACGUCCUCUCACAAUAUCUCUGAAGCAACUAUGCAAAUUCUUUUUGUUACAGUUAUAAUAAGCUUCUCUCUCCAUUCCCACACGUUCUCACAAUCUCUGCAGCGAUAUUUCUCAUAAAUUGGUGCAAUUUCAACGGAUAUAGUACUGCAAUUCUCCCAAUCGAUAAAAACACGUUUUCAAGUAGAAUGAUCGGAGGAACAGAUCUGAGAUUAAUUUUUUUCUCAUCGUUCUCUAUAUCCUCUCUACCCAGAAAAGUCUACUCUAUCUUCACUGUUAAUGCUAGAAAGACUGAACAAUUUGAGAGUAGUUUAAUAAUUUUUGUGUUGGAUGUAGCAAAAUCUCCUCAUUCUCGCCUUCAGAAUCUUGCUACCGCAAUGGGUUGUGUCCGGACAAAAACGGUGAAGAAGUCCUCCCCGCGAUGAUUGAGGGACACUACUCGAAGAUGUUAUUGAACUUCCAGACCAACAAAAAGAAGGAGCUGAUAGCUCUAAUGUGUUUUGCUUAUCGGCAUCAGUUUCAAUGUGUUUUGCAAGUUGCAGAAGGAGCUGAUAGCUCUAAUGGUAUGUUUGAUGUUAGUUAUUACUUGAUUUGUAUGUAUGUGUGUAUGAGAGUGAAAGAGAGGUUAGCUUUUAUUGGAUCAUUCAUUACAAGUAGAUGUGUUAUCCCUAAUUUGGCAAGGUAAUUUGUAGAGGUGUUAUGUUUAGAUUGAUUUUAGAAGUUAGGGAAGAAAGCCACGUAUUAAAUUUUACCAUUUCAUUGUUUAUUGAUUAAUUACUUAUUGAUCAAUUACUUAUUCCGCUUAUCUUGCAAGCAAAAUCUUUACUGA